RNAcentral lists this ribosomal RNA (498 nucleotides) under uncultured bacterium. RNAcentral describes it as "partial 16S ribosomal RNA". It matches the Rfam family "Bacterial small subunit ribosomal RNA", at positions 30 to 523 of the family's 1533-position model. The record is from RNAcentral.
AUUGAACGCUGGCGGCAUGCCUUACACAUGCAAGUCGAACGGUAACAGGUCUUCGGAUGCUGACGAGUGGCGAACGGGUGAGUAAUACAUCGGAACGUGCCUAGUAGUGGGGGAUAACUACUCGAAAGAGUGGCUAAUACCGCAUGAGAUCUACGGAUGAAAGCGGGGGAUCGCAAGACCUUGUGCUACUAGAGCGGCCGAUGGCAGAUUAGGUAGUUGGUGGGAUAAAAGCUUACCAAGCCGACGAUCUGUAGCUGGUCUGAGAGGACGAUCAGCCACACUGGGACUGAGACACGGCCCAGACUCCUACGGGAGGCAGCAGUGGGGAAUUUUGGACAAUGGGCGCAAGCCUGAUCCAGCAAUGCCGCGUGCAGGAUGAAGGCCUUCGGGUUGUAAACUGCUUCUGUACGGAACGAAAAGCCCCGGGUUAAUACCCUGGGGUCAUGACGGUACCGUAAGAAUAAGCACCGGCUAACUACGUGCCAGCCGCCGCGGUAA